AUUGAACGCUGGCGGCAGGCUUAACACAUGCAAGUCGAGCGGGGGAAGGUAGCUUGCUACCGGACCUAGCGGCGGACGGGUGAGUAAUGCUUAGGAAUCUGCCUAUUAGUGGGGGACAACAUCUCGAAAGGGAUGCUAAAACCGCAUACGUCCUACGGGAGAAAGCAGGGGAUCUUCGGACCUUGCGCUAAUAGAUGAGCCUAAGUCGGAUUAGCUAGUUGGUGGGGUAAAGGCCUACCAAGGCGACGAUCUGUAGCGGGUCUGAGAGGAUGAUCCGCAACACGGGGACUGAGACACGGCCCAGACUCCUACGGGAGGCAGCAGUGGGGAAUAUUGGACAAUGGGGGGAACCCUGAUCCAGCCAUGCCGCGUGUGUGAAGAAGGCCUUAUGGUUGUAAAGCACUUUAAGCGAGGAGGAGGCUACUCUAGUUAAUACCUAGGGAUAGUGGACGUUCUCGCAGAAUAAGCACCGGCUAACUCUGUGCCAGCCGCCGCCGUAA
This 500-nucleotide ribosomal RNA is filed under the name uncultured bacterium. RNAcentral's name for it is "partial 16S ribosomal RNA". It matches the Rfam family "Bacterial small subunit ribosomal RNA", at positions 30 to 523 of the family's 1533-position model. The record is from RNAcentral.